Rhinopithecus roxellana (golden snub-nosed monkey) is the source of this 840-nucleotide long non-coding RNA. RefSeq lists it as uncharacterized. Lineage: Eukaryota; Metazoa; Chordata; Mammalia; Primates; Cercopithecidae. The transcript has 3 exons. The record is from RefSeq and is a predicted model, not a curated record.
AUGAGACCUGGAAAGGAGACCAUGUGUGUCCAUGACGGCCUCCUCCCCGCCCCGCCUCCCUUGCCAUUGAGAGAUUCCAAUCGCUAAGUUCAGAAUGAGCCUUUCAACCAUAGAGACUGAAAGACUGAGACUGCAUUUGUUUCAGAAAGUGAUUGAUGCAGAGGUGUGAUGAUAUAUUUUCAGUGUGUCUGUCAAGAAGGUGGUGUUGAAAUAUCUGUGACAAUAUUGGUGAGGAGUCAGUCUCUUGCUAUUUCACAAUGGCCUUAAUUCUAGUGAUGGCAAUUUCUUCUUGCAACAAAGAAAGACAGUGACACCAAAGGAGAAAUAAUCAAAGUGGGAUGAAAGGGAUUGACAUUCGAAAAGACUUCAUGGUGAUUGGGAUAAAAUGGAAAAAGAUUUUGAAAGCGCUCAAUCACAGGGCACUCUACAAUCACGAGCUUCAUACCUUACACAGUUUCCUUUCCUGUCAUACUGACUGUGCUUCUUCAACGUCUGCUGCGAACCAGAAGAAAGAGCAAGGUUUCCAAACACCAACAGGUGAAUUCAAGCAACCCACAUCUAGAUGGAGCACCACUCAAUACUACUCAAAAGCCAGGAGAGAAGAGCAAAGCAAGAAAAGUCCGUUUUGUUUGGAAACACCCACCUUCCGGAGCCAUUUGUUUCCUGGGAGGAGAAAAGACACCACCAUUCUGAAUAAAACCAGCUUUUUUCUUGGUCAUCCGGUUCACAGAUCUGAGGAGCAGGGGCGUGCACACAACGUUUUUCAUUAGCUAUUUGGAUGUCGUUACCACAUCUUAUCAAUGCGAAUUAAUACUGGCACCACAGUGUCACAUCGACCUU